Molecule: long non-coding RNA, 2152 nt
Organism: Octopus sinensis (East Asian common octopus)
Lineage: Eukaryota; Metazoa; Mollusca; Cephalopoda; Octopoda; Octopodidae
Exons: 2
Source: RefSeq, a predicted model, not a curated record
AUAUAUAUAUAUAUAUAUAUGUUUGUAUAUAUAUCACAGGAAAUAAACAGGUAACAGCAAGUAUUUGGAUUCUAAAGCCCCGAUUUUUUCCCUAUUUCAUUCCCGAAUCUCCCAGUUAGUUGACAAUGAAUACUAAUGACUAUAUAAUAGUGAAUUGUGAUGUGUGUUUUGACUGUACUAUUAAAUUCAUUUUUACUACAUUGUAUAGUCUCUAUAUAUUUAGUUAACCCUUAAUCUUUAACUUAUCUUUGCACUUUUAGUGUUUAUUUAUUCCUUAUAUAAUAACUUAGUAUUAAUUUUUAUAUUUAAUUUUGAAGCACUCAAGAUAAAUUAAAUAUAUGUAUCCCUUUAUAGUAUAUUUUUAACAUAGCAUCGAAUGUGUUUUCUGCCUGAAAAAUUGCGUCAAAUGAACGAAAGUAUUUUUUAGGAAAGCUAAUAUUUCUUUUUGUAGUUGGGCGCCAUAGUGUUUUAAUUUUUGCCGUUUUCAGUUUAAGAAACAUUAAUAUGAAACAAAUACAAUAUAAGUUUUGAAAGAGACAGAUCAUAUCGAUAAUUCAUUGACAACAGAAUAUUGCUAUUUAACAAUAGAUUCAAAUUUGUGAAUUAGCAUUCUCGUUAUGGUACCACAAAUCAAAUACUGGAACUGCAACAUUUAUCAAAUAAGCAAUGUUUCUCUAUAUUAAAGGAAAUUAUUCCCUUUUCUUUUUUGUAGCGACAAGGCGAAAUUAUUGUAAGGUGAUAUUAUAAUAUAGAAACAUAACGUACGUAAGUUUACGAAUUAUUAUUCACAAAACUGAAGAUAAUAUAUUUUAUUCCAAAAAUAGGAAACUGCAUGAAGAACUCGGAUCUGUGAAAGUUUAUGCCUUCCUUUUUCUAUGUUUACCUUAUGUAAUUCGCUUUUUACUUUAUUUAGCCAGCACCGCCUACAAACCACAGCAAGAAAUAGAAGACCCACAAAGUAAACUACUGAAAGAAAUAUGAGCGUCGGUUUUUUAGGUUUUUAUUCUACAAGUAUAUAUUUUUGAUGCACUGUAAUAUAUGAAUAAAUUUGAGUGUUGUCUUAGAAACAAUACUAAGGAGUCAGUAAAAUAGAAUUAGUUCAAAAUAGUUAAGUUGAAAUGCUAAUUUCGUGAAGUGAACACUAAUUUAAAGUAACUCAUUCGAUUGGUCGUUUGAAAAUAUCAUAAAUCACUUUUCAGUGAUAUAAUAUAUUAGGUUGUCCCAAAAGUUCGUAAACACUUGCGAAAAUUGAAUUUUUACUCGCCAAGUACUAACAAAAACAACAAAGAUUAUUCCUCAAGAUAAAGGCCGUUAUUUUCCAAGACUUUCUACGAACUUUUGGGACAACCUUAUAUAUUAAUAUUAGUUAAAAUUUUAAUAUACAUACCUUUUUUCUAUACUGUUAUCAAACAUUAUAUUAGAGAGAUCGUAUUUUCUACUAUUUAGUUUGUUGACUACUAGUGAGACCCACAUAUCGUGUGUAGGCUCUGCUAUAUAAAGAGGACAUUUGAUUUGGUGUUCAAAUUUAAGUUGUGAAAACGAGGCGUAGUAAGAAAAUAUUGAAAGACUGGGCAAGGCAGAGUCUUUCUUGGGUUUAUUAUAAUAAAAAUCAAGAGACGUGAUUGGGGACUGUUGCCAAUAUGAGUGAGCAGGAAUCAUUGUAUUUGUAUUAGACGAGAAAUAAAAUAAAUAAAAAGUGCAUCUAUAAAUUAGGGGUAGUUGUGGUUCUUCUAGGACUGUCUCCCACGCGGUUGGAUGGGACAUUUUGUUUUGUAGUUUGGCAACGGCGUCAAUUGUAUUUCAGCUUCAGGUAGGGUCAUUAAUAGAGUUUACUUCUUGGAGGUUUACGGUGCAUUGUUGUGAGGCAGUACUGAAAAUAAUAUGGAUUUGUAGCUGUUACUGGAGGUUAAUAGAUUUUGUAAGCCUUGUAUCUUGGAACAGUGGAAUCCUAUCUUUUGUAGCUGUAGCAUAUACAGAGGUUUUAGCUAUGAUUUCUUAAUAUACAAAGCGGGUGUGGUAAAAUGUUAUAUUUUGAUAUGUCACGAAAUUAGGGUGUCAUCUGUAUAUUAUCAAUUUCUAUAUUCAUGUAAUGGCUGCAAAACUACAUUAUAAGGUUAGGAUGUGUAGUUGAUGAAUUGUGUCCACAAACAAA